RNAcentral lists this long non-coding RNA (3886 nucleotides) under Marmota monax (woodchuck). The record is from RNAcentral. Lineage: Eukaryota; Metazoa; Chordata; Mammalia; Rodentia; Sciuridae.
AGAGGACGGUAUGUCUUUCCAUACUUCAAGGAUCUUCUUGAAGAGGUGUUCAUUUGCUUCCACAGAGAGAGCUUCAGCGUUGAAGGUGAGCAUCAUGCCAAUUCCCAAGGAAUCAGGUAAAAUGAUGAUAUUCUGUGGUAUAAUGAGUUCCAAGGGCUGGAAUUAUGUUUCAUAAAAAAUUAUAUGUUCAACAUUUUACCACUACUAUUGUAAUUGAAGCAGCUUGGCUGAGCAAUAAAGAUCAAAGAGAUUCAAAGUGUAGGAAGGAAGGUAACAAAAGAGUUGCUUUCCUUAUGCCAUAAUGUGAUCACUAUUUAAUAUUUUCCUUUUUAUUUAGGAGAAAGAAUGGUUUGAAAAAAUAAGAGAUACAUUUCCUAAUACAGAGAAAUUGGUUUAAAUUACACAAAGUAUAAUGUAUAGUUAUUGAAAAAAAAUAGACAAGAGACUUGGAUUUAAGUUUCAUUUCAGAAAUAAUUUGAUGAAUAAUUUGAUAAUGAAUGUGUCCACCAAGUAAUGAGUACACAAUCCUUGGUUGUCAGUAAAAUUUGUUAAAAUAAAAAUAGAAAAUAAACCUAAAAAUAGCUUGAGCUUAACACACUUAUAAGGGGCAACUUUAUAUUCAUCAUAGCUUGAAAUAUAAUAGUCAUAAACCUUUGCAAAAAAUGUAGAAUUUCUUAUCAAAUUUUCAUAAUCUUAAAAAUCGGUUGAAUACAAGAUUCAGAGAUGUAUUAGGUAGUAUAAGAGGAAAUACUAAGAAAUAUCUAAGUACUUCCAAAUUUCAUGAUGCAUAAAAUGUGACAAAAUUGGCUUAAACUACAGAUAUUCCCUGAUAAUGAACAAUUGUGUUCUUUUCUCCAAAUUAGAAGGUAAAAAAAAAAAAAAAAAGAUCAAAAGCUAUACUUGCCAAACCCAGCGUACUCAGACCAAGGGCUUGAGGCCAUGUCUCAGCAACAACAAUCCUUAAAACUAAAAUGGGGAUCCAGAGGCGAAAAGCAAUUUUAAUACGCUCCCUGGGCACUUGCAUGAGCAAUUGAAUCAGGAAAGAGAUGAAUGAAGAGAAUAAAAGAAAAUUGCAAGAAAGAAGUUUGUCUCAGUAAAAUCUGUAAACAAUAAAACUGGACUGCUGCAAAUCGAGACAGACUCUGAGGUUAUUAUCUUCUUUCUGAAGUAACCAGAUAUUCUGUAGCACACGUGGCUCCCUUGUAACAUUACAUGUUUUAUAAUCUAGAACUCUUGAAAAGUUAUUAUUUUUAGUACAUUCUGUUUCAGAAGACACCCCUUGUCUCCCUUAGAGUCAGCUUUCUUUUAAUGGGUCAAGAUACUAGGGCAUUCUUCUAAAAAUAUUUUUGAAUAUAUAUAAGGUAUCCUAAUUAGGUCAGAACAUGACUUUUAAAAAUGCAUCAUUUCUCAUUGUAGCUUCCACAGUAAUUAAUGAAUUUAUUCAAAAAUGAAAUAUUUUUUGUUUUUUCAUCAGGUGAAACACUGAGUUAAACUUCUUGAAUGACUUUUCAAAUAAAUAUAAACUUGGACCAAUGCUGCAAUGUUCAAUAUUGCCCUGUAUUCUAAAUAAAUUCUCUUUGACCCACAUAAAAAGUAAGAUGCAGAAAUCUAUAAAAAUGUAAUACAAUAUUCACAAUAUAUAAAAGAAUAAUAUAAUAUUCAUAUCAAAAUUAUUUUGACCUUAUAUCUAAGUGGUUUUAUCUGAGGUUGGUUCAGUAUUUUUCACAUUAUAAACAUGGUAAGUUGCAUAUAAUCAUAGAAAAUCACUGGUGAUCAGCUAAUUAUUAUUAAUAUAAGCAAAAUCCUUUAAAAAGUAUUCAUUAAUGUACUGACAAUUGAUCCAUGUAAUUUAUUACAGAGGUAUGAGAUGAUUCUGAAGGCUAUUCAAAAAUAUCACAUCUAUACUAAUUUAAUAGUGUGUACAAUUUUUCUCCAGGAAUUUUUAUACCAUGCUAAGCUGUUAUGAUUUUAAUUGUUAAUAAAUGGGAAUUAAAAAAAUAGUUGAUGUAAAAAAAGGUGAUACAGGCUUUCCUUUUAAAUGUAAUUUUCAACAGGAAAAUCAGCAUUGCCACCUUCAAAUUUUAGACAAAGAAUUGUGUUUUGUAUGGUGUGCAUGUAGGGGUAUUAUAUUAUAUUUAAGUAUUUUAUGUAAAUUAUGUGAGUAUAUUUUUAAAACAAUUCAUAUUUUAGGUGCUGCACCAUAUUUUCACUACUUAAGAGUUUAGGUACAUUUGCUUUUGCAAUGCUGAACCCUUUGAUCAGAAAUUAAAAGUGUAAGUGGUAUGAUAAAACAACAUUUUAUGAUAAUUUACUAUGUACCACUGUUAAAGUAAUGCAAUAAAAGAGGAUAUACAUAACAAUUCCAUGAUACUGUCAUUGCAUUUUAAAAAAUCUAUUAAUAUAUUGUGGGGUACAGAAGGACUAAGGCAAGGACUUCAAACUCAAAUACCUCUUAGGGCUAAUUAUUAUAAAUAUGGAAAGAUAUAUAGAUAGAGAUUGUAGAGCAUAUAUCCUAUCUAAAUGCUCUACAAUUUCUAUCUAAAAAGGGGCAAGUAUAAAUCAGUUCAAGUUGACAGUGGCCAGUUAGUAACAUGGGCCUGAGGUUUCCAGGUAUUCCAGUUUAUCAAUAGAAGUACAGAUUUUAGAUGUAAACUUUACUUAUUAAAAAAUAAGCCAGGUGAUAGACAAACAAAAUAUUUCUGCAGAAUAAACUCAGCUAUCUGGACUCAGAAGUCAUCAGUGAUGUUUGUUUAAGUGUGACCACUUUAUGGAAAUCUAUACUUACAUUUUAGGUCUCCAUUCAAGUAUAGAUAUUGUUACUCACAUGUUUGAACCUUUCAGUUUUGAUGGUUGUAAAUAUUCAGUGUUAUACAAUAAUAUCUAGGGAUCUGAGAGUAGUAUCUUACAUUAUUUGGCAGGGUCACAUCAGACAUAACUUCAGAUUCUGCAUCGAUGAUGUGAUAUCCAUCUGCUGAGCUGAAGAAAAUCUUUAGUGUUUUCUCAGAACCAAUAGCCAGGUCAACUGUCACUGGCUUAUGACCAAGAGUUGGAAAUACCUGAAAAUAUAAAAACAAGUAUGGCCAAAAGGCAUUCGAACUAAGGUAAAAAUUUCCCCACUCUUUUCCAGGUUUGUAGGUUUAUAAAACCCAGGUUAAUUUUCAAAAUUGUAUAUUGUAUUUAAAGACCUAUGUAUUAGAACUUUUCUUAGGUCUGUUACAACAACAAAGACAAAUAUAUUUAGGUUCUAAAUAUUGUUUCCCUUCAAAUAUCAAAAUGCUAAUGAUUGUAAGAGCCUCAUAUGCCCCUGCACUGUUUGCUGUCUUUAAGUUUCUUGCCUUGAGCUUCAGCAAAUGAAGGAGCUCAUCUGGUCUCUUAAACCGGUUUGCUGGAUCAGCUGCCUGUAUUUUUGCCAGUAUUCGUAUAUAGGCUUCAUAGGACAUGUAGUCUCCUUCGGAGUCUGCUGAUUGAUCAAUGCAUACUUGAUAAGGAAUGAAAAAGGCCAUAAAUGUUAACCUACUAUAGACUGGGUGUAACCUAGGCUCUAUGGUUUCUAAUCCAAGGAAACAAAAGGCCAAUCAGGAUUCAUUGCCAUGAUCAGGUCACCAUGGAGGACUGAGCAUCACAGGAUUCACCAUACUGUAGUCAUGAGUUGGAAUUCAAGAACUGGAGUGAGGACUUGGACAGGAACUGUGUAUGAGGCUAUACAGAUUGUUGGUACUUAUCUCUUUUGUUUUCCAUUUCAUACCAGGUAGCUCUGACCAAUCAGCAGACACCCAAGAACAAACCCAUAUCCAAACACUGACAGCAGGGCCAAAGCCCAAUUUAGGAAGAUCAGUCAGGGAUGUGAUUUGUCAGGACACACCCAGACUAUCUAUGUAGUAAACUA